AUUAUGGGAGCACCAAACUACAAGUUAAUUCUGCAAGCAGUAAUUCAAGUAAAUUUUGCAAGGAGUAAGCUCUGAUGCAUAAAACAGCAACUCUUGCCAUUUCUCGUGUUGGAAACAUUUCUGACAAGGAAACAACAAGACACAGCAGGAAACGCGUUUUGGGCUUGUUUAGAAGCGCCUUUCCGAUCUGGAAUCUAUAUAAAAAAAAAUUAAGUUAAA
RNAcentral lists this unclassified non-coding RNA (219 nucleotides) under Hevea brasiliensis (rubber tree). Lineage: Eukaryota; Viridiplantae; Streptophyta; Magnoliopsida; Malpighiales; Euphorbiaceae. The record is from RNAcentral.